RNAcentral lists this ribosomal RNA (253 nucleotides) under uncultured bacterium. RNAcentral describes it as "partial 16S ribosomal RNA". It matches the Rfam family "Bacterial small subunit ribosomal RNA", at positions 524 to 776 of the family's 1533-position model. The record is from RNAcentral.
UACAGAGGUCUCAAGCGUUGUUCGGAUUCAUUGGGCGUAAAGGGUGCGUAGGCGGCGCGGUAAGUCGGAUGUGAAAUCUCGGGGCUUAACUCCGAAACUGCAUUCGAUACUACCGUGCUUGAGGACUGGAGAGGAGACUGGAAUUUACGGUGUAGCGGUGAAAUGCGUAGAUAUCGUAAGGAAGACCAGUGGCGAAGGCGGGUCUCUGGACAGUUCCUGACGCUGAGGCACGAAGGCCAGGGGAGCAAACAGG